GGUGGCUCAGUGGUAGAGUGCUUGCCUUGCAUGUAUGAAGCCCUGGGUUCGAUUCCUCAGCACCA
Non-coding RNA from Dipodomys ordii (Ord's kangaroo rat), 65 nucleotides. The record is from Rfam. NCBI's taxonomy places the organism in Eukaryota, Metazoa, Chordata, Mammalia, Rodentia, Heteromyidae.